Equus caballus (horse) is the source of this 1543-nucleotide long non-coding RNA. The record is from Ensembl. NCBI's taxonomy places the organism in Eukaryota, Metazoa, Chordata, Mammalia, Perissodactyla, Equidae.
AGUUAAGGAAAAGCAGAUGCGCAGGAUGGGGAAGGGAGGUCCAGUCUGGAUGACAGAAUGACAGAACCUGGGCUGGAAGAAAGCACACAGAGCCACUUCCCCCGUGACUGCCAGAAGGGAGUGUGCGGGAGGACCACAGCCGUGGGGACGGGCCGGGGCUGCGUGCCCUCACCCUCCGUGGAGCGUGGCUGGCUGGCAGCCUGUGAUGGUGGGUCGUCAGGAGCAGCUGCGUCAGCACGACUGUCUCUUUCCCAUCCUCGCCUGAUGGUGUUCACAGCUGAGCAGAGACCUUGAAGAGAUCUCAGCGCAGUGGCCCCUCCACCCCAGGUGGGUGCAGUCCAGGGUUCUGCAACGGUAGGACCUGUAUCUCCAGAACCUAGAAUAGUGCCUGACGUGUAACAGACACGCAAUUAAUGCUUGUUGAAUGAAUGGAAGAACUGCCCCCAACACUCCACACCUCGACUACGAUCUGGUUGAGAGCAUAACAGUAAUGAAAACAUAUGGGGUCCUGCAGGACGUGGCUUGGUUACUAGCGGACAGUGGAAGACUGGGCGAAGUGUGGAGGCACAGCUGGCGGUGUUCAGCGCACAUUGCUUGCGGAGGGGGUCAGAUAGGAUCAUAGCCGGCGCUUCGAGGGGAGUGUGUCAGUUGUGGAGGUGAAUACCUCAUCUUUUUAUCUAAGUGCCUGGCAAGGAGUAGACACCCAACAAGUGCUUCAAGUCUGAGUGAAUCCCAGGAUUUUGUAGUCGCCCCAACCUGCCUGCAGCUGGUUCUGCUCAAGCUCUGGGAGUGAAGGUGGGUCAAUGAUCCUACAAGCUGUUUUUCCUAAGUAUGCAUCCUUUUGAUCCUGGACUUGGCGUGGCAGCAUGAGCAGUCUGAUUUCUGGUUCCUUUAUUGGGUAGAAACCUUGUAGCUCUCCGAGGGUGGCUCAGGCCCAGCCCUUGGUGUCUGGAAGCUGAGGACCCAUGACUGUUCAAAGGCCUUCUCUGUAGGAGUGGUUUCAGCAGGCUUGUUGGAGACGCUUCACUGUGAGAACCUCUGUACUUCUCAGGGUGGCCUGGAAGAGCGAGAUGAUCGGGGGGCACCUUCUAGAGCAGUGUUUCUCAAUCUACAGGUUUGUAAUGGUUUGUGGUGGACUUCGAGCCUUCCAUGCGGUGGUUUGUGAAAUGAAUGUAAGAGUCACAUACAGCUUUUUAAAAUAAAAUAUAUUAGAAGAGACACAAUAACUGGUGACCUAGUAUUUCAAAAGCAAAGUCAAGAUAGCGACACUUUUAGACAGCAGAUGCACACUGAAGAAAAUGCUAAAGAUGUUCUUAGCAGAAGGAAAGGGAUCCCUCACAGAAGCAUGGAGAUGCAGGAAGGGAAGAAGAGAGACAGAAAAGAGCAAUUUUAGAGAAACUUAAAUUAAUGUUGACUGUAUAAAUAAUAACAAUGUCUUGUGGGAUAUAAGACACAUAGAGAAUUAAAAUACAUGACAGCAGAGCAGAAAUUCGGAAGGGUAUUAAAUAGGUCAAGAUGUUCCAAUAUGUUCCUGCAUGUCUUG